AUGAACCUUUGGAAUGAGUUGCAGCCGAUCCAACUCACUCAGGCUCAAGAUUAUUCACUAACCUGGAGAUGGACAAACGAUGGUCAGUUUUCCUCCAGCUCGGUGUACGCUGCCACUCUUACUGCCAACAUUAGGCCACCUUAUGCGAAGCUGGCCUGGAGCUCGGAUGCCCCUCCCAAAUGUCAGUUCUUCGUCUGGCUGGCUGCUCAAGAUCGAUGUCUAACGGCGGAUAACCUUGCUAAGCGAGGGUGGCCCCAUAAUCCGCUGUGUCUGCUAUGUCUACAAGAGCCUGAAACUGCUGCCCACCUGCUUACUUCUUGCUCUUUUGCGAAGGAAGUUUGGCACCUGACACUCUGCAAGUUGAACAUGAGCCCGGCUAUGGCGGCAGUUCAUGACGAUUCCCUAGUUAGCUGGUGGCACCGAACAAAUGCUUCCAUGGGAAAGGAAAGAGCGAAAUCUUGGAGAUCAAUUUUGGCCCUGGUUUGGUUGAACCUCUGGAAAGAAAGAAAUGAUAGAACAUUCAGAAAUAUUUCUUGUCACCCCACACAACUGUUUCUGAAGAUUCAGGUCAAAGCAAAGGACUGGGUUGAUGCUGGGCGUAAGCGUGCAAUGGCUCUUGUAGAGCGCCCCCUAGAACCAGACUGA
Molecule: ribosomal RNA, 645 nt
Filed under: Triticum aestivum (bread wheat)
Lineage: Eukaryota; Viridiplantae; Streptophyta; Magnoliopsida; Poales; Poaceae
Description: partial small subunit ribosomal RNA
Source: RNAcentral